UUAAUUCUGUUCUUGAAGUGGAUUAUUUCAGUCUAGUCUAAGAGCUAAGAAAUAUUUUUGUGUGUAUCAUGUGUUUUAAUUUCAGAAUCAUGGAACAAAGAUUUAGGAAGAGAUAAAAUGAGACUGGUGAAGACUAUAAUAAUCUUACUCCCUCUGAAAAGGAGCAAAUCUGAAAACAGAAACGCAAAGAAAAUUAUCUUUAUUUGGAAGCAAAGGAUAACAGCACAGAGCAGAAUGACGAGAAGAUUGCCUUCAGCAAGAAAGAGACUUGCUUGAGCAUGGAGGAGAAUGAUUUGAGUGACAAAGAUAAUGAUUUGAGUGUUAAGAAGAAUGACUCCAGUGUUUUGAAGAAUGAGAUAGGUCAAGAAGAGACUGACCAGGAAGCAUGAUUUAAAGAAUGGGUGACUGUUCUUAGCAGGGACAAAAAUUGACUUGAUUGGCGGAGAGAAAAGUUUCAGCUAGGGCUGGGCAUUGUUCCUGGGGAACGAUUGUUCUUUCACAAGAACGAACGGAACUAUCAAGAAAGAUCCCUUCAUUCCGAAAAAAGAACUAACGCCUAUCUCUUUCUUCAGAUGCUUUCCAAGUUCAGAAAUCCUUUGAAACACCGUGUCCAGUCUGUAGAACUAGGAUGAAAGGCGACAUGUUCUCUCCUCUAACCCUGUGCACCAGCUUUUAAUUGUCUCUCAAUUUAGUUUUCACCGUUGGAACAAUAGAAGUGCACUAUUAAACCAUACACAGAAUAUUAGUAUUACAUAUUUAUUAGACGUGAUGAAUGGCAAAAUGUUGUGACCAGAUUAAGUUAUUUAACAGAACACAUUAAAAUCCAAUAUUUCAAAAUGUGAUAUGUGGUGAUAUGUUACGACCAGAUAAAAGGAUUUAAAACGUUAUAUGAGAACUUUAUAAAAGCUUAGCACAAA
This is a long non-coding RNA of Eurytemora carolleeae, 917 nucleotides long. RefSeq lists it as uncharacterized. The record is from RefSeq and is a predicted model, not a curated record. The transcript has 3 exons. NCBI's taxonomy places the organism in Eukaryota, Metazoa, Arthropoda, Copepoda, Calanoida, Temoridae.